CAAAAUCAUUAAUCUUCUACAUAGUCUGAUAAGUAGGCAGGUUUUUUCCUGUGCCUCCGCCUACUUAACAUAUCAGAUUCAACAACAGAUGCAUCCAUUUCAUGGACAUGAAGAUCCCCAUUGAUAUUCUUCUCACAAAUGUCGGUUAGAGCUUUAUUCUCUGAAGAAGUCGAAUUACUGACUGUGUGAGACACCAGAGGAUCUGGCGCACCCACAAUAG
Molecule: long non-coding RNA, 220 nt
Filed under: Mytilus galloprovincialis (Mediterranean mussel)
Lineage: Eukaryota; Metazoa; Mollusca; Bivalvia; Mytilida; Mytilidae
Source: RNAcentral